UAGCUAGUUGGUGAGGUAAAGGCUUACCAAGGCGACGAUCUGUAGCGGGUCUGAGAGGAUGAUCCGCCACACUGGAACUGAGGCACGGUCCAGACUCCUACGGGAGGCAGCAGUGGGGAAUUUUGGACAAUGGGGGCAACCCUGAUCCAGCCAUGCCGCGUGAGUGAAGAAGGCCUUCGGGUUGUAAAGCUCUUUCGGCCGGGAAGAAAUCGCAUGGGCCAAUACCCUGUGUGGAUGACGGUACCGGAAUAAGAAGCACCGGCUAACUACGUGCCAGCAGCCGCGGUAAUACGUAGGGUGCGAGCGUUAACCGGAAUUACUGGGCGUAAAGCGUGCGCAGGCGGUUUUGUAAGACAGGCGUGAAAUCCCCGGGCUUAACCUGGGAACUGCGUUUGUGACUGCAAGGCUAGAGUACGGCAGAGGGGGGUGGAAUUCCACGUGUAGCAGUGAAAUGCGUAGAGAUGUGGAGGAACACCAAUGGCGAAGGCAGCCCCCUGGGUCGAUACUGACGCUCAUGCACGAAAGCGUGGGUAGCAAACAGGAUUAGAUACCCUGGUAGUCCACGCCCUAAACUAUGUCAACUAGGUGUUGGGUGGGUAAAACCAUUUAGUACCGUAGCUAACGCGUGAAGUUGACCGCCUGGGGAGUACGGCCGCAAGGUUAAAACUCAAAGGAAUUGACGGGGACCCGCACAAGCGGUGGAUGAUGUGGAUUAAUUCGAUGCAACGCGAAAAACCUUACCUACCCUUGACAUGCCAGGAACUUGCCAGAGAUGGCUUGGUGCCCGAAAGGGAGCCUGGACACAGGUGCUGCAUGGCUGUCGUCAGCUCGUGUCGUGAGAUGUUGGGUUAAGUCCCGCAACGAGCGCAACCCUUGUCGUUAAUUGCCAUCAUUUGGUUGGGCACUUUAACGAGACUGCCGGUGACAAACCGGAGGAAGGUGGGGAUGACGUCAAGUCCUCAUGGCCCUUAUGGGUAGGGCUUCACACGUCAUACAAUGGUCGGUACAAAGGGUUGCCAAGCCGCGAGGCGGAGCCGAUCCCAGAAAGCCGAUCGUAGUCCGGAUUGCAGGCUGCAACUCGCCUGCAUGAAGUCGGAAUCGCUAGUAAUCGUGGAUCAGCAUGUCACGGUGAAUACGUUCCCGGGUCUUGUACACACCGCCCGUCACACCAUGGGAGCGGGUUCCGCCAGAAGUAGGUAGCCUAACCGCAAGGGGGGCGCUUACCACGGCGGGGUUCGUGACUGGGGUGAAGUCGUAACAAGGUAGCCGUAGGGGAACCUGCGGCUG
This 1287-nucleotide ribosomal RNA is filed under the name metagenome. Its description in RNAcentral is "bacterial SSU rRNA". It matches the Rfam family "Bacterial small subunit ribosomal RNA", at positions 242 to 1520 of the family's 1533-position model. The record is from RNAcentral.